CUACGGGGGGCUGCAGUGAGGAAUAUUGCACAAUGGGGGGAACCCUGAUGCAGCAAUGCCGCGUGGAGGAUGACGCAUUUCGGUGUGUAAACUCCUUUUAUAUGUCAAGAAAAUGACGGUAGCAUAUGAAUAAGCACCGGCUAACUCCGUGCCAGCAGCCGCGGUAAUACGGAGGGUGCAAGCGUUACUCGGAAUCACUGGGCGUAAAGGACGCGUAGGCGGGUUGGAAAGUCAGGUGUGAAAUCCUACAGCUUAACUGUAGAACUGCACUUGAAACUUCUAAUCUAGAGUAUGGGAGGGGGAGAUGGAAUUAGUGGUGUAGGGGUACAAUCCGUAGAUAUCACUAGGAAUACCUAAAGCGAAGGCGAUCUCCUGGAACAUUACUGACGCUAAGGCGUGAAAGCGUGGGGAGCAAACAGGAUUAGAACCCCGGUAGUC
RNAcentral lists this ribosomal RNA (438 nucleotides) under uncultured bacterium. RNAcentral describes it as "partial 16S ribosomal RNA". It matches the Rfam family "Bacterial small subunit ribosomal RNA", at positions 339 to 795 of the family's 1533-position model. The record is from RNAcentral.